GAUGAACGCUGGCGGCGUGCCUAAUACAUGCAAGUCGAGCGAACGGACGAGAAGCUUGCUUCUCUGAUGUUAGCGGCGGACGGGUGAGUAACACGUGGAUAACCUACCUAUAAGACUGGGAUAACUUCGGGAAACCGGAGCUAAUACCGGAUAAUAUUUUGAACCGCAUGGUUCAAAAGUAAAAGACGGUCUUGCUGUCACUUAUAGAUGGAUCCGCGCUGCAUUAGCUAGUUGGUAAGGUAACGGCUUACCAAGGCAACGAUGCAUAGCCGACCUGAGAGGGUGAUCGGCCACACUGGAACUGAGACACGGUCCAGACUCCUACGGGAGGCAGCAGUAGGGAAUCUUCCGAAAUGGGCGAAGGCCUGACGGAGCAACGCCGCGUGAGUGAUGAAGGUCUUCGGAUCGUAAGACUCUGUUAUUAGGGAAGAAGAUAUGUGUAAGUAACUGCGCACAUCUUGACGGUACCUAAUCAGAAAGCCACGGCUAACUACGUG
Molecule: ribosomal RNA, 497 nt
Filed under: uncultured bacterium
Lineage: Bacteria
Description: partial 16S ribosomal RNA
Rfam family: Bacterial small subunit ribosomal RNA
Source: RNAcentral